This 30-nucleotide non-coding RNA is filed under the name Mus musculus (house mouse). The record is from RNAcentral. Lineage: Eukaryota; Metazoa; Chordata; Mammalia; Rodentia; Muridae.
UAGAACAUAAUUGGGCCAACCUGCCAAGUU